CUGUCUAUCUGUCUAUCAUCUGUCUGUCUAUCUAUAAUCUGUCUGUCUGUCUAUCAUCUGUCUGUCUGUCUAUCAUCUGUCUGUCUGUCUAUCAUCUGUCUGUCUGUCUAUCAUCUGUCUGUCUGUCUAUCAUCUGUCUGUAUGUAUGUCUGUCUGUCAUCUGUCUGUCUGUCUGUCUGUCUAUCAUCUGUCUGUCUGUCUGUCUGUCUGUCUGUCUAUCAUCUGUCUGUCUGUCUGUCUCUCAUACGUCUGUCUGUCUAUCAUCUGUCUGUCUAUUUGUCUGUCUAUCUAUCUGUCUAUCAUCUGUCUAUCUGUCUGUCUGUCUGUCUAUCAUCUGUCUGUCUAUCUAUCUGUCUAUCAUCUGUCUAUCUGUCUGUCUGUCUGUCUAUAUCUGUCUGUCUGUCUAUCAUCUGUCUGUCUCUCUCUGUCUGUCUAUCAUCUCUCUGUCUGUCUGUCUGUCUCUCAUACGUCUGUCUGUCUAUCAUCUGUCUGUCUAUUUGUCUGUCUAUCUAUCUGUCUAUCAUCUGUCUAUCUGUCUGUCUGUCUAUCUGUCUAUCAUCUGUCUGUCUGUCUGUCUGUCUGUCUAUCUGUCUAUCAUCUGUCUGUCUGUCUGUCUGUAUAUUGUCUGUCUGUCUUUACAUGAAACAACUCAAAGUAAACCGACAAUUUAUAAAAUAUGUGGCUUUCUAACAAGAUCAUUUAAUUUGUAUCUAGUUUUAUCUACUUGUAUCUAGUCUAGUUAAUUGAGUCUUGUGCAGAUUAUCCAUUAAUCGCAUCUCUGAAUGUAUGUUUGUAUUCCAGGCCUUUCAUUUGAUUAUUAAAUAAACAGAUUGUUAAUCUCUGACUGCUGAGUUACAGCUCGCAACAUAAUCUCAUGUCCAGUAAUCUCUCUCUCUCUCUCUCUCUCUCUGUCUCUCUGUCUCUGGCUCUCUUUCUCUCUCUGCUCGCUUAUCCCUGUUAAUUUAAUUACAAAUGACGUGAUUAAAAAUUCAUUAAAGUAUUAGAAAUAAAGAACAUGUAUUUCCAUCAGGGAGACACGAUUAGUACAUUGACCCUCGCGGCUUGGGUCCCUGGAGUAUUUUACCCACUCAUCUCUGUCUCACAGGGGUUUUAUGUUUUUCAUUAAAAUUGGUUAUUUUUCUCAUUGUGUUUUUUGCUAAUUAAAUUUACUUUUGUUUACUUUUUGUAUAUUUUUUUGUAAAAUGUUUAUAUUAAAGACAUUAAUACAUUUUACUCCAUUUAUUUAGUUUGAGUUAUUAUAGAACAUCAAGUUGAACGACGAUAAGAAAAUGAAAAAUAUGGUCUUGGCCACAAGCUGAAAUAUGUUACAAUUGAAAUACUUCAUAGUUUUUAUUUUAAUGUUAAAUUAGUUUUUAUUUUAUAUAGUUUUUAGCACUUUUUAAAAUGAAGUUUUAUUUAUUUUGUUCUGUUUUAUUACUUAUAUACAUCAAGUUAAAUGAAAAUGAACCUUAUAAAUAAUUGUUUUCAGACAGGUUUCCUUGACAGGAGAUGGUGUUUAUGCAUCCAGAAAAGCCACUCUUGAUCUGGGAUCAUCUAGAGACUGAUGGUGUUGCUUCUUUUGCACGCUAAGAAGUGCUUCUGGCUCUCAGCGCGGCCGCUGCGGAUCCAGGUGUGAACACAGUCUAUGGUUUGGCAGAUUCCCCCUCAGUCGCCCUGUUUGGACCAGAACUCGGAGAGGAAAGACUCAUCAGACGCAGCGUGAAAUCCACAGAUACGUCAUGGUGUGAACGGUAAAACUGGACUCUGAGAUUCUGCUGUUUUCUUAAAUAUUCCCAGAGUUUGAAGACUCCGAUGAAGGCUUUGAUGAUUGUUUGCUAAGUCUUCAUCAUCAUGUGGAACUCUAUUGCCAUGGGAACUGAUGAUGCAGACGAGAGAAGGCCUCUAAUUGGUUCAGUCGGUUCCAGCAGCUUCUUGGACCACGGCGACUAGUUUUGAAGCUGUCUUGAUGACUCACAGAUGAAUAAAAAGUUGAAAAGAAAGUGCAGCAAACAGAGAGACGGAGUGUCUGUUGUCAUUGAUUUCAAUGAUUCAGUCGGAUCUGCAUUCAUUCUCCGCAAAGUGCCGAAUGCUUUCUGGACGUGAAGAGAAAAAAGGGUCUUUAAACGAAACAGAUGUGACUCUGCAGCAGGUUACAGUGUGUGUGGAGCCUCUGACGCUCCCAACACUUACUCAAACGCACAAGCAACACACACACUUCAUGCAGAACAACAUGCACGAGAAAGAGAGAAUGUGAGUCCUGUUUGCACCUGUGUGAUUGACGUGCAAACUUCUGCUUUUGAUCCUCCUGUGAUUUACAGAGAGUUUUAUUCCUGGGAAUAGUGGAAGGGAACUGACUCACUGGGUUUGAUGUCUGGAGCAGUGAAUCAUGGGGAGGACUGCAGCAGCUGGGGGUCUCCUGGAAAGAGUCAUCUUUAAAAACGCUUUGAUCUGCCUUGAUAAAAAGAAUUAUUUUACAAACUUUAUUUACCAAACGCUUUUCAUGCUCAAAGCUCAGAGCACCAGUAAUGCAUCUGAACACACUCAUGUUUACUGAUUGCACGUGACAA
Long non-coding RNA from Carassius gibelio (silver crucian carp), 2567 nucleotides. RefSeq lists it as uncharacterized. The transcript has 7 exons. NCBI's taxonomy places the organism in Eukaryota, Metazoa, Chordata, Actinopteri, Cypriniformes, Cyprinidae. The record is from RefSeq and is a predicted model, not a curated record.